UGUUUAAGUACUAUUUGGUUUCCGGUUUUUGAUUGAUAUUGUAAUUGAUAUAAUUUAUUUUUUUGUAUGUUUAUUUUUUAGGACACAUCUUCAGUAGUGGACCUCAGGAUCACCGGAUGUUUCGGCCAUUAUCGCUAGACAUCCUCACCUGAGGGAGGCCCUGCUGAAGCUGAUCGAGCCCCGGAGUGUGUCCCGUAGCCAGUUGACUGGAGUUGUAACUGUCAUUCUUCCAUUAAAUGGGUCCAGGACUAAAUCACUCACUCACCAGAAAGCGGCUAUUGUAUUGGAACAAACUGACUGAGUCCUUUGUACAUUGUCCUUUGUACAGCAGUCAGAGGUAUGUUUUAAAUUUGAUUUUCUCUGCAUCAGGAGUAGUAUAUCUGUAUUGAAUUAUUCAAGAAUAUGUAGACUCAGUGCUUUUUAUGUACUGAGCUAUUACCAGACUGAAUAUCUGUCUGAACCCUGUUCAGACUAAAAAUGGUCUGUAUUAGUGUUGGCAUGUUGCUUCAGGUAGCAGUGAGAUGAUGAAAUAUGAUACAAGAAGUCCAGUUCGAGGGAUAGAUCCAUGCGUUUUGAGACUAUUCAGAUGCCAAAACACUGCAUAGCACUUUAUAAUACUGCAAGUCAGUAUUUUAUAAUCCUGGCGAGUUUGUGAAGUCUGGAAACAUGACCGAAAAUAUUUUUAUAUAUAUAAUUCUCAAACACUAGCUUGGGCAAUGAUGGUUGUUUAAAAAAAAAAAAAAAAAAAGUUAAAAAAAAAAUAGAACCAUCAUAAUUAUAUUAUUUUUUGGAAAUUACAUUAGUCGAACUGUUACACUGUUUUGUGCUUGAUGUUUGUGUGAUGUAUAAUUAUUUGUGUAAUAAUUAUUACUUUUUCAUUUUCAGUCUAGGAGCAAAAUAUUCAUGAACAUGAGAUGCACUCUGGCCCUUCGUAGUCUUCCGGUGUAUCAGCGCGAGGGGUCUCUGAGUUCUUCAAGACCAGCAGUGUAACUUCUCAGUCAAUAUGUCAAUAUCUAUCAGUACAGUGUUGACAUAACAUAUUGUAUGGGAAACAAACUUGAAUGCCUCCUGUAGCAUUCUCAAAAUUUAAGUAGAUUCAAGGAUAGGUUUGGACUUUUUCAAGUCUAUCUCAAUACAAUAUUCAAAUGUCAAAUGUAUAUCGACAAAGUUAUUAGUGGGUGGAAAUUGUUCGUCCUAUCUCCAUAGAAGCCGUAAAGCAGUCCCUUCCUAUCAGGUAGGAUGAGUCUCUAACCGGUCUGCAGAAUUACAUUGAGUGUGUUUUGCCAGUUAUCAAAUGGCUCCACAUGAUCACAGCUGAUGGAGGCUACUGUCCAGUGAGAGUUUGAUUCUAACUGAUGCUACCUGGAUGAGAUGUCCCAAACUGAUUUACUGCACAAUAGUUGAUGAUUCAUAUGAUGUUCACUGUCUGUGUAGAUUAGUCACUGCAUAAAUGCCUAUCUAUAGAUGCCUGUUUUUUGUCUAGCUGUCAACAUAUCCACAUUUCUAUUUAUUUUUUGAGACAUUGAGUGUACAAACCUAUUGAUGAGGAGGUUUACUCAGUGUGAAACCUGCUGGUCAUUUUUUGUAAAUACUUUUGGCAUGCUUGCUGUUGGUUCUAUGCCACUGAUCUCUGUAAUUAUUGAGAGCUCAUAGUACCCUAUUACCCCACUAGAAAACUGCGCUCCCAGAAUGCAGGCUUACUGGUGGUUCCUACAG
This is a long non-coding RNA of Thunnus maccoyii (southern bluefin tuna), 1716 nucleotides long. RefSeq lists it as uncharacterized. The transcript has 3 exons. The record is from RefSeq and is a predicted model, not a curated record. NCBI's taxonomy places the organism in Eukaryota, Metazoa, Chordata, Actinopteri, Scombriformes, Scombridae.